RNAcentral lists this long non-coding RNA (1124 nucleotides) under Homo sapiens (human). Its description in RNAcentral is "HSALNT0141263". Lineage: Eukaryota; Metazoa; Chordata; Mammalia; Primates; Hominidae. The record is from RNAcentral.
GACUCCAUCAAAAAAAAAAAAAAAAAUUAAAAGUACUAUUUUGGUAAAACAUAAUUUUAAAAAGUAAGUGAUUGUAAAUAAGCAGAUUCUUUUUUCAUGUAUAAAAGAAUAGAUUAGGGGCCUGGCUUGGUGGCUCACAUCUGUAAUCCCAGCACUUUGGGAGGCCAAGGCCAGCAAAUCACCUGAGGCCAGGAGUUUGAGACCAGCCUGGCCAACAUGUGAAACCCCAUCUCUACUAAAAAUAUAAAAAUUAGCCAGGUGUGGCGGUGCAUGCCUGUAAUCCCAGCUACUUGGGAAGCUGAGGCUGCACUCUAGCCUGGACAAGAGAGUGAGACUCUGUCUCAAAAAAAAAAACAAAAACAAAAAAAAAUAGAUUAGGAUAAUAUUAUAUAUAUAUAUAUAUAUAAAAUGUGUGUGUGUGUGUGUGUGUAUAUAUAUAUACACACACACACACAUAGACACAGACCCACCUCUGUUAACGUGACUUCCUUUUAAAUUCAAAGGGCUUUUUGAUAGUAUCAGCUGAAUUACCCUAUAUCAUACUCAUGGUUGGUGAGAAGACAAAAGUCAAACUCAGGGAGACUGGGACUUGAAAAUUAUAACGUAAUAUGAAACACUGCUAAAACAUCCUCAAAACUCUGAAAAUUUCCAAGUAAUUAAUCUUUUCUUCUUUAAUUUACCAAGUUAGUUUUCUAAAAAAUAAAACCCCCUCUUCUUUUACAUUGUUUCUUUUCAUAGCCGAAAUUGUCAGCUCCAAUUAAAUGGUAGGUACUUUCCAUUCUUCUGUGUCCUCUCAAGGCUCUGAGGCCCUAAGACGCAGUCCAGGGUGCACAUCACUGAAGUCCCAGCAGUGAGAUGGGAGAGGCAAAGAAGAAUUAGCAGCUGGUGAUUCCACUGAAAGCACCUCGCCAGUCCGAAGAGUUAAUUACAGCAAAGAAGAGGAUCUUAAAAUUUGACUGAAUUUAUUUAAAAAUCAGUAAUACUAGAGCUGGGCACAGUGGCAAGUGCUUGUAGUCUCAGCUACGUGGGAGGCUGAGGAUCGCUUGAGCCCAGGAGGUUGAGGCUGCAGUGACCUGUGUGCAUGCCGUUGCACUCUGGCCCAGAAAACAGAGCAAGACCUUGUC